Non-coding RNA from Triangularia setosa, 118 nucleotides. The record is from the annotation of a GenBank genome assembly. NCBI's taxonomy places the organism in Eukaryota, Fungi, Ascomycota, Sordariomycetes, Sordariales, Podosporaceae.
GGGCCGCUGGUCUAGUGGUAUGAUUCUCGCUUAGGGUUCACCCUGAUGUUUACAAAGUUGGUUAUUCUUCUGAAUAUACACUUGCGAGAGGUCCCGGGUUCAAUCCCCGGGUGGCCCC